UUUAAUAAUAUUUUAAACGAUUUAUAUAUUUUUAUAUGACAUUUUUGGUUUGGUUAUGCUCAUAGAAUGCAUCUACGAAAUAUGAGGCACAUAAAAUGUGAUAGCUGGAUAUUAUCGAAAAUAUCAGUAACACAAAAACGUGUUGUUAAGACAACUUGAAGUAUUGUAGGGAGCACAAUUUUUCGUAUAAUUAAGUUCAAAAUUUUUUAUAAUCAAGGUUGUCACCUUUCUUUUAUAUAGAACUAUAUAUAUUUUGAUAUACGUCGGUGUAGUCCACAUUAAAAUCAGUUCAACGAUUAUAAUCACUCGAGGACAAAAUUACUUUUAUAGAAAUGUUUGGAAUCUUGAACUGUAAUAAUCAUUCGUGAAUUGGUGUUUUGCUUAUAAUCUUUUGUUAAAAUCAUAUUUAAUAUUAGAUAUUAAAUUUUGUAUGAUCAUUUUUAUGGUGAUAUCUACAUAGUAGAGGAAGUAUAGCUCGCGAUAUUAUAAUGCAUGGAAAUCUCUCACUCUUAAUUAAAGCCUAUAUAAUACAAAUUAUAAGAAAACGAAAUUCGCAAACAGGAUACAAAACAAAAGGAGCAAAAGGUUGCCAGUAAAGCUGACAAAAAUAGAUAAUUUACAAUACGCAACAUGCUCAGGGUCGGCCAUUUGUUAAUUACGAGUCAGACAUAUAGGAAACAUUCGAUAAUUGCACAACUGCACAAAAAGAUUCCCAGCAUAAUUGCACAGUUGUCAUUCCUACUAUAGGAGCAAGUUCGCCUAACGCACCUCGAAAGUCGAUGGCUCAUCGCGGUUAAGUAAUGUAACAUUGUUCAAUGUGGGAUAUCGCUGAGAUAAUAUAUACAGAUACCAAUUCAAAAGUACUUUUUUAUUGUCGACUUUUUUUAAAUUAAACUUUUACUAACAUAUCUGUAUGAUCUGAUUAAAAUGAGAUCAAACACGAUAUAAUUUGAAUUAUAUGUACUUACUGAUAUGUAUUUAAUUAUCAUUUAUUAAGGAGGCAAAUAUGCUCCAAAUCAUAACGUGUUCGGUGUCAUUUUAAUCAGAAAAAUGUAAGAAACAUAUUGGUUAAAGUUUCAUCGAUCACAAAUCUAAAAUAAGAAAGUUUGAUUUUUGAGAUAAAAGUAUUAGCUUAUCGCGGGCCUUUAACAUUAGCUGAAUGCUUUGACUUUCAGUCCCUCUUUCUCUUUGACUCGCGUAGUCCUUUUCUAUGUUCAAAGAUUUCUAAGAUUUCAGUUUCGAGGAAUAGGAGCAUUUUUACCUCUACAUAAUUGCAACAUUUGAAUUCCGAUUUUUGUGCAAUUAUUGAAUGUUUUAUGACUAUUUGGCUUGACUUUAUUUUCGAACGUGACAAGAAAGAAC
Molecule: long non-coding RNA, 1362 nt
Organism: Bombus impatiens (common eastern bumble bee)
Lineage: Eukaryota; Metazoa; Arthropoda; Insecta; Hymenoptera; Apidae
Exons: 3
Source: RefSeq, a predicted model, not a curated record